GGAUUUGCCAUCUUAAGCCCCUAGCGCAGGGACGCGGAAUUCCCUGGGACAGACUCUCUCACAGACAAAUGAUGGCAUUGAAUAGAAGAAUCCCACACAUCUCAGACUGGCAUUGAGCUCACCAUGUCACAGGGGACGACCUCCAUCUUUGGCUCGUCCUGCCUCUACCUCCAAACUGCUGAGAUCCCAGAUGCAUAGGGCCACACCUGGCUUCAUUCAGUGAUGAAGACCAAACUCAGGGCUUUGUACAUGCUAAGCAAGCCCUCCACCCACUGAGCUGCACCGCCUCAGCCACUUCCUUAACUUGCUUGCCACGCCACCAAAGGGACGUCUCUGGGAUGCAGCAUGGGGGUGAGGUGGUAUAGCAUCUCUUCACUAUCUAUUCAUCUCAAAGAAGACUUUUGGAAACUUUGGGGACUUUUAGAGACCCACAAACAGCCAAGCUGUAAGGACAGGCAGCCCUGUGGUCAGAGGAAGGAUGCAUGGCGGUGUCUGUGUGUGUGCCAUAUGCUUCCAUCUAUAAAGGCAGGAUGUAUGGCUGGGACACUCAGCCCUGAGCUGCAAAGCUCUGACUCAUGGAACACCAAGAAAACAUCAGGUGAGGAACCUGGGCUCUGGAGAUGAUCAGACAUGGGUACCACCUGCUUUUACACACAUGAGGGACCAAACCCCAAGAGCUCCCUAGGAUAUAGGCAACCUGAUGGAGCUUGAACUUUCAAGAGGGAGACCUUCUGGAAAGUUCCACUUCCAUUUCAGAGAUCGGCACUUAACUUAUCAUUCUUUCCCUUAUGAGUCUAACUUAAAAGUACUUCUGGAGGCAUGGUGACUCGUGCUGGUGAUCAUAGGAAACCACUUGGAAACUGAGGCAGGAGGAUGGAGAAUUUUAGAAUAGCUUGGGCUUUGUAGUGUGUUUCAAUGUGAAUAACUGAAUGAAUACUAAAAACCCUUGAGCUUUUCAGAAUCAAUGAGUUCUCUUGGUAUCUGCCCUAAGCAGGCAUCAUGCCCAACUCAUGGUCUGGGAAAUUCAUUAAAGGCCCUGACCCAAAAAAUAAAAAUAAAAAUAAAAAUAAAAAUAAAAAUAAAAAUAAAAAUAAAGGCCUUGGCCAGGCCCUUCCUGGCACCCU
This 1124-nucleotide long non-coding RNA is filed under the name Mus caroli (Ryukyu mouse). RNAcentral describes it as "lncRNA (MGP_CAROLIEiJ_G0003608.1)". The record is from RNAcentral. Lineage: Eukaryota; Metazoa; Chordata; Mammalia; Rodentia; Muridae.